GACGAACGCUGGCGGCGUGCUUAACACAUGCAAGUCGAACGGAAAGGCCCUUCGGGGUACUCGAGUGGCGAACAGGUGAGUAACACGUGGGUGAUCUGCCCUGCACUUUGGGAUAAGCCUGGGAAACUGGGUCUAAUACCGAAUAGGACCACGCGCUUCAUGGUGUGUGGUGGAAAGCUUUUGCGGUGUGGGAUGGGCCCGCGGCCUAUCAGCUUGUUGGUGGGGUAAUGGCCUACCAAGGCGACGACGGGUAGCCGGCCUGAGAGGGUGACCGGCCACACUGGGACUGAGAUACGGCCCAGACUCCUACGGGAGGCAGCAGUGGGGAAUAUUGCACAAUGGGCGCAAGCCUGAUGCAGCGACGCCGCGUGAGGGAUGACGGCCUUCGGGUUGUAAACCUCUUUCAAUAGGGACGAAGCGCAAGUGACGGUACCUAUAGAAGAAGCACCGGCCAACUACGUGCCAGCAGCCGCGGUAAUACGUAGGGUGCGAGCGUUGUCCGGAAUUACUGGGCGUAAAGAGCUCGUAGGUGGUUUGUCGCGUUGUUCGUGAAAACUCACAGCUUAACUGUGGGCGUGCGGGCGAUACGGGCAGACUAGAGUACUGCAGGGGAGACUGGAAUUCCUGGUGUAGCGGUGGAAUGCGCAGAUAUCAGGAGGAACACCGGUGGCGAAGGCGGGUCUCUGGGCAGUAACUGACGCUGAGGAGCGAAAGCGUGGGGAGCGAACAGGAUUAGAUACCCUGGUAGUCCACGCCGUAAACGGUGGGUACUAGGUGUGGGUUCCUUCCUUGGGAUCCGUGCCGUAGCUAACGCAUUAAGUACCCCGCCUGGGGAGUACGGCCGCAAGGCUAAAACUCAAAGGAAUUGACGGGGGCCCGCACAAGCGGCGGAGCAUGUGGAUUAAUUCGAUGCAACGCGAAGAACCUUACCUGGGUUUGACAUGCACAGGACGCCGGCAGAGAUGUCGGUUCCCUUGUGGCCUGUGUGCAGGUGGUGCAUGGCUGUCGUCAGCUCGUGUCGUGAGAUGUUGGGUUAAGUCCCGCAACGAGCGCAACCCUUGUCCUAUGUUGCCAGCGGGUUAUGCCGGGGACUCGUAGGAGACUGCCGGGGUCAACUCGGAGGAAGGUGGGGAUGACGUCAAGUCAUCAUGCCCCUUAUGUCCAGGGCUUCACACAUGCUACAAUGGCCGGUACAAAGGGCUGCGAUGCCGUGAGGUGGAGCGAAUCCUUUCAAAGCCGGUCUCAGUUCGGAUCGGGGUCUGCAACUCGACCCCGUGAAGUCGGAGUCGCUAGUAAUCGCAGAUCAGCAACGCUGCGGUGAAUACGUUCCCGGGCCU
This 1337-nucleotide ribosomal RNA is filed under the name uncultured bacterium. RNAcentral describes it as "bacterial SSU rRNA". It matches the Rfam family "Bacterial small subunit ribosomal RNA", at positions 28 to 1381 of the family's 1533-position model. The record is from RNAcentral.